UUUACACUCUUGACCUCGGAUCAGGUAGGGAUACCCGCUGAACUUAAGCAUAUCAAUAA
This 59-nucleotide ribosomal RNA is filed under the name Phoma sp. G6. Its description in RNAcentral is "partial 28S ribosomal RNA". Lineage: Eukaryota; Fungi; Ascomycota; Dothideomycetes; Pleosporales; Didymellaceae. The record is from RNAcentral.